UACGAAGGGGUCUAGCGUUGCUCGGAAUCACUGGGCGUAAAGGGCGCGUAGGCGGAUCUUUAAGUCGGGGGUGAAAGCCCAGGGCUCAACCCUGGAAUUGCCUUCGAUACUGAAGAUCUCGAGACCGGAAGAGGUAAGUGGAACUGCGAGUGUAGAGGUGAAAUUCGUAGAUAUUCGCAAGAACACCAGUGGCGAAGGCGGCUUACUGGUCCGGUUCUGACGCUGAGGCGCGAAAGCGUGGGGAGCAAACAGG
Molecule: ribosomal RNA, 253 nt
Filed under: uncultured bacterium
Lineage: Bacteria
Description: partial 16S ribosomal RNA
Rfam family: Bacterial small subunit ribosomal RNA
Source: RNAcentral